This 519-nucleotide ribosomal RNA is filed under the name uncultured eukaryote. RNAcentral describes it as "SSU rRNA". It matches the Rfam family "Eukaryotic small subunit ribosomal RNA", at positions 1161 to 1698 of the family's 1831-position model. The record is from RNAcentral.
AGGGCACCACCAGGAGUGGGGCCUGCGGCUUAAUUUGACUCAACACGGGAAAACUCACCCGGCCCGGACACUGGAAGGAUUGACAGAUUGAGAGCUCUUUCUUGAUUCAGUGGGUGGUGGUGCAUGGCCGUUCUUAGUUGGUGGAGUGAUUUGUCUGGUUAAUUCCGAUAACGAACGAGACUCUAGCCUAUUAAAUAGAUCGUUGGCUUACAAACGCCGGCGAGACUUCUUAGAGGGACAGGCGGCGAUUCAGCCGCACGAAACAGAGCAAUAACAGGUCUGUGAUGCCCUUAGAUGUCCGGGGCCGCACGCGCGCUACACUGAAGUGAUCAGCGUGCAUUUUGAAACCUACUCUGUCAAGAGUGGGGAACCCAAUGAACCUUCUUCGUGAUCGGGAUAGGGGAUUGUAAUUAUUCCCCUUGAACGAGGAAUUCCCAGUAAGCGCGAAUCAUAAGUUUGCGCUGAUUACGUCCCUGCCCUUUGUACACACCGCCCGUCGCUACUACCGAUUGAAUGUUU